UUACUUGUUGGUUAUUACUGCAUUGUCGGAACUAGAAGCACAAGCAUUUCGCUACACUCGCAUUAACAUCUGCUAACCAUGUGUAUGUGACAAAUAAAAUUUGAUUUGAUUUGAUUUAUGACCAUUUGAACAUCGUGGCCAUGUUCUGUUAUAAUCUCCACCCGGCACAGCCAGAAGAGGACUGGCCACCCCACAUAGCCUGGUUCCUCUCUAGGUUUCUUCCUAGGUUUUGGCCUUUCUAGGGAGUUUUUCCUAGCCACCGUGCUUCUACACCUGCAUUGCUUGCUGUUUGGGGUUUUAGGCUGGGUUUCUGUACAGCACUUUGAGAUAUCAGCUGAUGUACGAAGGGCUAUAUAAAUAAAUUUGAUUUGAUUUGUUACAAAAAAUACUUCAUCACUCAAGAACUAAUUUUAAUUUUACUAGGCAAGUCAUUUAAGAACAAAUUCUUAUUUUCAAUGACAGCCUCCAAACAAUGGGUUAACUGCCUAGUUCAGGGGCAGAACAACAGAUUUAUACCUUGUCAGCUCUGGGAUUUGAUCUUGCAACUUUUUGAUUACUAAUCCAACACUCUAACCACAAGGCUACCCUGCCACUCUGUGUUCAGGUACUCAAGAACUAUGUGGACCAACAGGAGGUGACUGGAGUUGAAGGAGGGAGUGUCAUUGUAAAUUGUAAAUUGGAGAACACUGGCUGGUACAGGUGUGGAGUUGGAGACCUUAUAAUGCCUGUUCACAUCACUGUCAGACAACAAACCACCACACAAAGUACCACCACUAUGACCACUGCUGUGCCUGUUCAGACUGACAACACAGUCCAAGGACCUGAGGGGGGCAAGGAGAAGGACACCAUGAGGUAAUUAUCACUCAUUCAGCUGUAUUUAACACUUACUCUUCCAAAUGGAUGACAAUAGAAAUAUGCAGAAAGUUAACAUGUUCUGUUUUUGACACUAGCGUUUAGGUCACAAAAAGACCCUCCUUAUAUGUUUUCACACUGUGUAUAGGCCAACACUUACCACUUCCUCAUUUCUCUGUGGUUUGCUGAAGUAGCAGCAUUCUAUUAUUGGAUGUAAAAGGUGUGAAGGGCUGAACACGUGAUAUUGAUAUUUUUUUAACCUUUAUUUAACCAGGCAAGUCAGUUAAGAACAUAUUCUUAUUUUCAAUGACGGCCUGGGAACAGUGGGUUAACUGCUGUUCAGGGGCAGAACGACAGAUUUGUACCUUGUCAGCUCGGGGGUUUGAACUUGCAACCUUCCGGUUAUUAGUCCAACGCUCUAACCACUAGGCUACGCUGCCGCCCCAGUGGAGUGGGAGACCUUAUAAUGCCUGUUCACAUCACUGUCAGACAACAAACCACCACUAUGACCAGUGAGUAGAGAACAAUCAGAUACUGUAGAAUUAAGUAUUAACCUGGUUUAUCCAGUCUUGCUGGCUGAUCAUCUAAAACAAAUUGGAUUGUAACAUGAUUCAAAGCUUUGGGGAAUACU
This 1483-nucleotide long non-coding RNA is filed under the name Oncorhynchus kisutch (coho salmon). Its description in RNAcentral is "lncRNA (ENSOKIG00005043455.1)". The record is from RNAcentral. Lineage: Eukaryota; Metazoa; Chordata; Actinopteri; Salmoniformes; Salmonidae.